UACAGAGGGUGCAAACGUUGUUCGGAAUUACUGGGCGUAAAGGGCGCGUAGGCGGCCUUCUAAGUCGAACGUGAAAUCCCUGGGCUCAACCCAGGAACUGCGUCCGAUACUGGGGGGCUUGAAUCCGGGAGAGGGAUGCGGAAUUCCAGGUGUAGCGGUGAAAUGCGUAGAUAUCUGGAGGAACACCGGUGGCGAAGGCGGCAUCCUGGACCGACAUUGACGCUGAUGCGCGAAAGCUAGGGGAGCAAACGGG
This 253-nucleotide ribosomal RNA is filed under the name uncultured bacterium. Its description in RNAcentral is "partial 16S ribosomal RNA". It matches the Rfam family "Bacterial small subunit ribosomal RNA", at positions 524 to 776 of the family's 1533-position model. The record is from RNAcentral.